RNAcentral lists this non-coding RNA (25 nucleotides) under Mus musculus (house mouse). The record is from RNAcentral. Lineage: Eukaryota; Metazoa; Chordata; Mammalia; Rodentia; Muridae.
UGUGAUCUGAAAGUCACCCUGUGCC